GAUGAACGCUGGCGGCGUGCCUAAUACAUGCAAGUCGAGCGAACAGAUGAGGAGCUUGCUCCUCUGACGUUAGCGGCGGACGGGUGAGUAACACGUGGAUAACCUACCUAUAAGACUGGGAUAACUUCGGGAAACCGGAGCUAAUACCGGAUAAUAUAUUGAACCGCAUGGUUCAAUAGUGAAAGACGGUUUUGCUGUCACUUAUAGAUGGAUCCGCGCCGCAUUAGCUAGUUGGUAAGGUAACGGCUUACCAAGGCAACGAUGCGUAGCCGACCUGAGAGGGUGAUCGGCCACACUGGAACUGAGACACGGUCCAGACUCCUACGGGAGGCAGCAGUAGGGAAUCUUCCGCAAUGGGCGAAAGCCUGACGGAGCAACGCCGCGUGAGUGCUGAAGGUCUUCGGAUCGUAAAACUCUGUUAUUAGGGAAGAACAAAUGUGUAAGUAACUAUGCACGUCUUGACGGUACCUAAUCAGAAAGCCACGGCUAACUACGUG
RNAcentral lists this ribosomal RNA (497 nucleotides) under uncultured bacterium. Its description in RNAcentral is "partial 16S ribosomal RNA". It matches the Rfam family "Bacterial small subunit ribosomal RNA", at positions 28 to 507 of the family's 1533-position model. The record is from RNAcentral.